Chiroxiphia lanceolata (lance-tailed manakin) is the source of this 364-nucleotide long non-coding RNA. RefSeq lists it as uncharacterized. The transcript is spliced from 3 exons. The record is from RefSeq and is a predicted model, not a curated record. NCBI's taxonomy places the organism in Eukaryota, Metazoa, Chordata, Aves, Passeriformes, Pipridae.
ACGAGUUGGACAUGUACCAGUGAGGAGAAAAAGAAAUAGCCGGAGGGGCCUCUCAGCUGUGCGGUUGGAUUAAAUAUCCCAGGCACUAGGACACAGGGAAUCACUCCUGCUCCGAAUGCUGCUGCCAGUUCUCCUCCCUUCACCAUGCAGCCCAUGAACAUGGACUUGUCCAGCAAGGGCUGGGCAGGAGUGACUAACAAAGAAACACCUGUGCAUGAGGGAUGUUGUGGCUCUUGCUGGCCCCAGGCACCUCAAACCUUCCCCAUGAGCAGAGCCCACUCUCACACAGAAGUUACCAGGACUAACCAAGAAGAGGACCAAGUGUGUGUGGAUCUCCAAGAACAGAAGAUCUACACACACCAUC